Molecule: long non-coding RNA, 2070 nt
Filed under: Homo sapiens (human)
Lineage: Eukaryota; Metazoa; Chordata; Mammalia; Primates; Hominidae
Description: non-protein coding lnc-KCNC2-2:19
Source: RNAcentral
AAGGCGCGGAACUACUCAGUGGUGAAGGCUGUGCGGACACUGGGGGCCCGCCAGGGGUUUGGCCCCUUACUCAACCCAACCACGGUCCUCUCCGGCGCAGGCCGAUUUGAGGACCUAGACUCCUUGAUGCUGACGGCCUGAGGGGGCUCCCGGGUGCCGGAUAUCUGACACAGGCCAGGGAGGCUCCCCUGGGAGACCUGGCAGGCCUGGAGGUGUGAGUCGGCUCUGAGCAGCUGCUCUGGGAGAGCCAGUCCACGGAGCCAAAGCUGGAGGGCAGCUGCCGGCCACAAGUUGGGGAGGAGGAGAGACGCAAGGCCGUCAGAUGCUUGUCCUGGAAACCAACCAUGAGCUGUGAUGAAAUCCAGGCAACUGAGUUGUGUUUCAGCCCAAAGCAGCAAAUGGAAUCCAGCUUCAGGACCAUCAUCUGACAUAGGGGAAGAAGACUUACAUAGAAGGCCUAACCAGCACCCAAGAUCAUGGCUGGUGUCAGAGAAGGCUGAAUUGGGUACCAAGACAUUCCUUCUCUCCAGGUGGUAACAAGGACCCUCACAUGGUAUUAAUGAAGACCAAAUGUUUGAAUUUCUGCUUGACUUCUUCAAUUGUGAAAUCUGGAUCUAUGCAGACUAUGGAAAUAAUGUUAGAUAGAAAGCAAAUUCAAGUGAUUUUCUUAUUUGUGUUCAAAAUGAGUCGUAAAGCAGUGGAGACAACUCACAACAUCAACAACACAUUUGGCCCAGGAACUGCUAAAGAACAUACAGUGCAGUGGUAGCUCAAGAAGUUUUGUAAAGGAGAUGAGAGCCUUGAAGAUGAGGAGUCUAGUGGCUGGCCAUUGGAAGUUGACAACUACCAAUUGAGAGCAGUCAUCGAAGCUGAUUGAUCCUCUUAGAACUACAUGAGAUGGUUGCCGAAGAACUCAAUGUUGACCAUUCUAUGGUUGUUCGGCAUUUGAAGCAAAUUGUAAAGAUGAAAAAGCUUGAUAAGUGAGUGUCUCAUGAACUGAGUGAAAAAAAAAAUCUUUGUUUUGAAGUGUUGUCCUCUUUUUUUUCUUGACGGAGGCUUGCUCUGUAGCCGGGCUAGAGUGCAGUGGCGUGAUCUCAGCUCACUGCAACCUCCACCUCUCCAGUUCAAGCGAUUCUCCUGCCUCAGCCUCCUGAGUAGCUGAGAUUACAGGCACCCACCGCCAUGCCCAGCUAAUUUUUUGCAUUUUUAGUAGAGAUGGGGUUUCACCAUGUUGACCAGGCUGGUCUUGAACUCCUGAUCUCGGGUGAUCUGCCCGCCUUGGCCUCCCAAAGUUCUGGGAUUACAGGUGUAAGCCACCGCGUCCGGUCUAUCAUCCUCUCUUAUUCUACAAAACAACAACAAACCAUUUCUCCAUCGGAUUGUGAUGUGCCAUGAAAAAUGGAUUUUAUACAACAAUUGGCAGUGACCAGCUCAAUGGUUGGAUUGAGAAGAAGAUCCAAAAAACGUUCCAAAUAUAAACUUACACCAAAAAAUGGUCAUGGUCACUGUUUAGUGGUCUGCUGCUGGUCUGAUCCCCUAUAGCUUUCUGAAUCCUGGUGAAACCAUUAGAUCUGAGAAGUAUGCUGAGCAAAUUGAUGCGAUGCACAGAAAACUGCAAUGCCUGCAGCUGGCAUUGGUCAACAGAAAAGGCCCAAGUCUUCUCCAUGGCAGUGCCUGACUGCAUGUCACACAAUCAAUGCUUUAAAAGUUGAACAAAUUGUGCUGUGAAGUUUUGCCUCAUCUGCCAUAUUGACCCUGCCGUAUUCACCUGACCUCUUGCCAACUGACUACCACUUCUUCAAGCUUCUCAGCAACUUUUUGCAGGGAAAACACUUGCCUGCAAAAAGUGCUUUCGAAGAGUUCGUGGAAUUCCAACACACUGAUUUUUAUGCUACAGGAAUAAACAGACUUAUUUCUCUUUGGCAAAAAUGUGUUGAUUGUAAUCGUUCCUAUUUUGAUUAAUAAAGAUGUGUUGAGCCUAGUUAUAAUGAUUUAAAAUUCACAGUCCAAAAUCACAUUUACUUUUGCACCAACCUAAUAAAAUACUACAAAAAUAUGGUUUGACUAUAU